This 64-nucleotide transfer RNA is filed under the name Bosmina fatalis. RNAcentral's name for it is "tRNA-Gly". Lineage: Eukaryota; Metazoa; Arthropoda; Branchiopoda; Diplostraca; Bosminidae. The record is from RNAcentral.
AUUUUUUUAGUAUAUAAGUAUAUUUGACUUCCAAUCAAAAGGACCAUUUUUAAUGGAAAAAAUA